GUGCUCAUCCUGGCAACAGGAACGACCAUAAAGAAGCCGUCGAGAGGUAUCGGAAGAGUUUUCUUUUCUGUUUUAUAGCCGUACUACCAUGGAAGUCUUUCGCAGAGAGAUAUGGUAGAUGGGCUAGAAGAGCAUGACAUAUACUGUUGUGUCGAUAUUUUCUCCUCGGACCUUGAAAAUUUAUGGUGGGGAUACGCAAACUUCUCAACAGGCCGUACCAAUAUCCGCAGCUGGUCUCCAAGGUGAAGAGUCUCUAGUCGAUAGAAUAAUGUAGGUAAGGGAAGUCGGCAAAUUAGAUCCGUAACUUCGGGAUAAGGAUUGGCUCUGAAGAUUGAGAUAGUCGGGCUUGAUUGGGAAACAAUAACAUGGUUUAUGUGCUCGUUCUGGGUAAAUAGAGUUUCUAUCAUUUAUGAUAGUUAUUUGUUCCCCGGAUAGUUAGUUACGUAGCCAAUUGUGGAACUUUCUUGCUAAAAUUUUUAAGAAUACUAAUUUUUAAUUAGUUCUUUUAAAUUAUAACGAUUAUCAAUUAACAAUCAAUUCAGAACUGGCACGGACUUGGGGAAUCCGACUGUCUAAUUAAAACAAAGCAUUGUGAUGGCCCUAGCGGGUGUUGACACAAUGUGAUUUCUGCCCAGUGCUCUGAAUGUCAAAGUGAAGAAAUUCAAGUAAGCGCGGGUCAACGGCGGGGAGGACAUGGUCCUGGUGAACGCAGAAGGUCAACGCAGAAAUGCUAUACUUCGUAAGUCCGGAUCCAGGUCAAGUCGACUCGAAACCUCCUCGUGGUGUCCUCUGGAUGCUAUCUAGGCCAUUGUCUAGUUAGUAACAGAUUCGAGCGGCGGUAUUCUGAAGGUCUAAUCCUGACGAAUAUUAGAAAACGUUGGAAUAUGGUCUAGGAUUACGUCCGCCUACGACCCCAGCGAACCAAGCAGAACUGAAAAUUUGAGUACACUUUUAAAUUGGAGCAAAAUCCAACAUAAAUGAUAUAUGAUUUGACACAUUCUAAUCUUGGGGUUACAAACAAAUUAACCAAAGGCGCUUGCUGCCUCAGCAUGACAUCUAAAAGAAGGCAUAAACAUCGUAUGGCUAAAAAGAGGAGGUUUUAGUACGUAGGCGCUGUGGAACUUUAUAGUUCUGAUGAUGCAGUGAAUCGUGCAUGCGGCAAUUCACCCGUAGUAAGGUGACCGUAUCUUUCGAAGAUUUCCUCCCUCUGCGAUCAAAAAAAAAAAAAAAAAAAUAGCCAAAUGCCUCGUCAUCUAAUUAGUGACGCGCAUGAAUGGAUUAACGAGAUUCCUACUGUCCCUAUCUACUAUCUAGCGAAACCACAGCCAAGGGAACGGGCUUGGAAUAAUUAGCGGGGAAAGAAGACCCUUUUGAGCUUGACUCUAAUCUGGCAGUGUAAGGAGACAUAAGAGGUGUAGAAUAAGUGGGAGAUAUUAUUCCUUGU
This 1444-nucleotide non-coding RNA is filed under the name Drosophila willistoni. Its description in RNAcentral is "Eukaryotic large subunit ribosomal RNA". It matches the Rfam family "Eukaryotic large subunit ribosomal RNA", at positions 1634 to 2489 of the family's 3401-position model. Lineage: Eukaryota; Metazoa; Arthropoda; Insecta; Diptera; Drosophilidae. The record is from Rfam by way of RNAcentral.